This 329-nucleotide unclassified non-coding RNA is filed under the name soil metagenome. RNAcentral describes it as "partial contains 5.8S ribosomal RNA, internal transcribed spacer 2, and large subunit ribosomal RNA". The stretch from base 1 to 120 matches the Rfam family "5.8S ribosomal RNA", at positions 35 to 154 of the family's 154-position model. The record is from RNAcentral.
GAUGAAGAACGUAGUGAAACGCGAUAAGUAAUGUGAAUUGCAGAAUUCAGUGAAUCAUCGAAUCUUUGAACGCACAUUGCGCCCCCUGGUAUUCCGGGGGGCAUGCCUGUCCGAGCGUCAUUACAACCCUCAAGCUCAGCUUGGUGUUGGGCCCCGCCGCCCCGGCGGGCCCUAAAGUCAGUGGCGGUGCCGUCCGGCUCCGAGCGUAGUAAUUCUUCUCGCUCUGGAGGUCCGGUCGUGUGCUCGCCAGCAACCCCCAAUUUUUUUCAGGUUGACCUCGGAUCAGGUAGGGAUACCCGCUGAACUUAAGCAUAUCAAUAAGCGGAGGA